ACCAGGUUGUCUCCUGCGACUUCAACAGCAACUCCCACUCUUCCACCUUUGAUGCUGGGGCUGGCAUUGCUCUCAAUGACAACUUUGUAAAGCUCAUUUCCUGGUAUGACAAUGAAUAUGGCUACAGCAACAGGGUGGUGGACCUCAUGGCCUACAUGGCCUCCAAGGAGUAAGAAACCCUGGACCACCCAGCCCAGCAAGGAUACUGAGAGCAAGAGAGAGGCCCUCAGUUGCUGAGGAGUCCCCAUCCCAACUCAGCCCCCAACACUGAGCAUCUCCCUCACAAUUCCAUCCCAGACCCCAUAACAGGAGGGGCCUAGGGAGCCCUCCCUUCUCUCUUGAAUACCAUCAAUAAAGUUCGCUGCACCCUC
Molecule: long non-coding RNA, 371 nt
Filed under: Rattus norvegicus (Norway rat)
Lineage: Eukaryota; Metazoa; Chordata; Mammalia; Rodentia; Muridae
Description: long non-coding RNA NONRATT028906
Source: RNAcentral